This 374-nucleotide long non-coding RNA is filed under the name Salvia miltiorrhiza (redroot sage). RNAcentral describes it as "long non-coding RNA (SMIL_LNC012338)". Lineage: Eukaryota; Viridiplantae; Streptophyta; Magnoliopsida; Lamiales; Lamiaceae. The record is from RNAcentral.
ACUCACCCUUCAACCUUCCUCUCUCUCAAACCUCGGUCACCACCACACGACCUUACUGAACUCGACACCCACACAUCUCACGCUGCACCCUCCUCUUCUUCCUUUUUCCCGGCGAAGAGCGCCGGCUUCCCGAGCAGCAGCAACCGCGGAGAACCCACGGCCGCCGCAGUCAGAAACAGCCACCGCCGCCUGACCUAGCUUCCCUGAAACCACCGAUUCCCUCCUCCUUCCGACGACAACAGCUCGCUGCCGCCGCCAGUCUCUCUCCCUCUCGACUGCUCUCACGGCCGCUGGAGCUCGCUGGAGCAACGGCGACCACGACAGGCUCCACCUCCGCUGCUACUCCAUCGUGCCCGGACCAGACCACCUCUCCC